CUGUGAACUGAUCAGAUAGCCUGAGUCAAUGUGGUGGGCAGAUAAAAGCUACAUUUUUCAAGUAAAGAAGAGGUCGGGUCUCAGUGUUCUAAUGGACGUUUCAUGUAUCCUAGUUAGAGCUCAUAUUUGCCUAUUUCCUGUUGCACGAUGAAUUGAACUGCUAGCUUAGGUUAGUAGAGGUGAACAUAUUGUUAUUUUCUGUUAUUUUCUUUAUUUCUGGUUUUAUGUUUGUGUAUGGUUUUACCUUUCUUGUGGUGAUGCGUGUGAGCUUCAGGUGAUGACAACAUUACGUGACAUGAUUAUUAGCUCUCCUUACAGUUUCGUGAAUGUGUUUUUUUUUUUGAUACUUGUACUUUCAAAUGUACUGUAGUACUGAAGAGUUAUGUGUGUGGGGAAUGAUUCUUCCUUGAUUCUUUGGAAUGCUCGUACCGGCACAGUCCAACUGUCAAGUUGUGCUUCUACUGGAAAUUUCUCCUCCAUUGCUUCUUUACAGGGAGAAGUUUGGCCACAUGAUUCUGCAGGGAACCAGUUGCUGAGGUUUUACAAUGGUUGGCAGACAUACAACUAAUUCACUGGCAAGAUGCAGCUAAGAAAACUUGCUGAGCCUGGACUUGUCUUAACGGACUCUUUACUAGGAUUAAUUAUAGCUACCAUCCAAAUUGAAAUUGUCAAAUUAUUUCUAUGCACAGGUACUCGAUUGAUAAGUGUCGGCUCAGUUCAUCAUCAUCGGAGUUUAUAAUUUUGCUGUUUAAUCAAUAGUUUUUUAGUUCAUCGUUUUGGAAUUGAAUCCUAGAACUAUAGAUUACACUGGUCAGAACUAUAGAUUUUAAUCCUUUGUGUAAUUUGAAACCAAUGA
Molecule: long non-coding RNA, 856 nt
Organism: Papaver somniferum (opium poppy)
Lineage: Eukaryota; Viridiplantae; Streptophyta; Magnoliopsida; Ranunculales; Papaveraceae
Exons: 5
Source: RefSeq, a predicted model, not a curated record